Molecule: non-coding RNA, 253 nt
Organism: Camellia sinensis
Lineage: Eukaryota; Viridiplantae; Streptophyta; Magnoliopsida; Ericales; Theaceae
Source: RefSeq, a predicted model, not a curated record
UAGAAAAGAGACAGGAAGAGAGAGCUCGGCUGAGAGGGAGAUAUCGGGAGGAAGGAGAGAAAAAAAAGGGGAAAAGAAGGAAGCCUUGUGGAAUACCAAGAUUCAAGCUUAAAAUUGUGGAAAAUUCAUAUUCAAGUCACGCACCAUUGUCUACCUGAUUUAUCUGAUAUGUUCAGUCCAUCUGAUUUGCUUCUGCGGCUAUCUGAGCGUGACCAGGCUUAGAGGCAUUUGUCGAGAAUCUGUUUUUGUCAGC